GGUUUUGUAGUGUAGCGGUUAUCACAGUGGAUUUUGAUUCACAAAUAUUCCAUUAACCCCGGUUCGAAUCCGGGCAAGACCU
RNAcentral lists this transfer RNA (82 nucleotides) under Wallemia mellicola CBS 633.66. It matches the Rfam family "tRNA". Rfam says of the family: Transfer RNA (tRNA) molecules are approximately 80 nucleotides in length. RNAcentral also lists the same sequence under 1 other name. Lineage: Eukaryota; Fungi; Basidiomycota; Wallemiomycetes; Wallemiales; Wallemiaceae. The record is from Rfam by way of RNAcentral.